This 322-nucleotide ribosomal RNA is filed under the name uncultured eukaryote. RNAcentral's name for it is "partial 18S ribosomal RNA". It matches the Rfam family "Eukaryotic small subunit ribosomal RNA", at positions 1470 to 1796 of the family's 1831-position model. The record is from RNAcentral.
CCCUUAGAUGUUCUGGGCCGCACGCGUGCUACACUGAGUGGAUCAGCGGGUCAGGUUACGCGAAAGUGUUUCCUAAUCUUUAAAUCCGCUCGUGAUGGGGAUUGACGGUUGCAAUUUUCCGUCAUGAACGAGGAAUACCUUGUAAGCGCGGGUCAUCAUCCCGCGCUGAAUACGUCCCUGCCCUUUGUACACACCGCCCGUCGCUCCUACCGAUUGAGUGGUCCGGUGAGGCUUUGGGAUCUGAGCGGAAAGAGCGUUUCGCUGUUUCUGCUCGGAAAACUCAGUCGAACCUUAUCAUUUAGAGGAAGGAGAAGUCGUAACA